Cercocebus atys (sooty mangabey) is the source of this 914-nucleotide long non-coding RNA. RefSeq lists it as uncharacterized. The record is from RefSeq and is a predicted model, not a curated record. NCBI's taxonomy places the organism in Eukaryota, Metazoa, Chordata, Mammalia, Primates, Cercopithecidae. The transcript has 3 exons.
ACCUCAGGUGAUCCACCUGCCUCAGCCUCCCAAAGUGCUGGGAUUAUAGGUGUGAGCCACUGUGCCUGGCCUAAACCUCUUUAAAUACCAAAAAGAUCCCACUGAUCUGCCUCAUCUAUGUCUUAUUACACCUUCGACCAUUGUUUUUUAGGUUUCUACUAUGCUACUCUUUCAUGUCCUUGAAUGUGCCUUCCUCAUGGCCAUAUUGUCUGCUUGCACUAUUCAUUCCAUGUGCUCCCUUUUAUAUAAGUAAUACUUGACAUCCUUUAGAGUUUUGCUAAAACAUGACUUCCUCAGGGCAGUUUUCUUCACACCAGAAUCUCUCUCUUACAUACUCUUGGAGGCACACGUGAUCCUGGUCACAGGUCAAUCAUGUUUAACAUCUGUUUUUCACAGAAUAGAAGCUCCAUGAGGAUAGGAAUCAUAUUUGUUCCCACUGUUGUGUGCUCAGUGUUCAGAUUGUGUCUGGCACAUGCUAAAUGUUUGAUACAUAUUUGUUAAAUGAACAUUCAAGUGCUGAUGGGAAGAAUUUACACAGCCCUCUUCUCUGCCUAUAGAAAAUGUAAAGUUGAAGAAACUAGCUAGACAAUCUAUCUGCACAACUUGAUAUCCUUUGCUGUCACUCUACAUAUUGGAAAUGAUGAAAUAUAUGAAAAGGACUCUAAUGUUAUAUUGACUCAUUCAUAAAAGUGUGUGUAGAAUGCGCAAUUGGGAAACCCUGUUUGCAGAGCCCAGAGUCAUGAAGAAUAGAACUCAGGAAACCCAUUUAAGAAAACAGUGAGAACGUGUAAAAGACCUCUAUGAUGGCUCCUGCAUUAUUCAGAUUACUCAAAGAAAAGAUGUCAGCAAUGCAAGUUAAAAUAGUGUCUCCCAUGGAAAAAGAAGUAGCAGAUUCCAUUCGUGCAAAUAACAGA